Molecule: non-coding RNA, 392 nt
Organism: Lupinus albus (white lupine)
Lineage: Eukaryota; Viridiplantae; Streptophyta; Magnoliopsida; Fabales; Fabaceae
Source: the annotation of a GenBank genome assembly
GCCGGCGGGAAUGGAUUCUUGAGCCCCUUAUUUACCUGGCGCCAACCUAAUAAAAGAUCGAAGAAAUGCUUAGGUCACCCGAGAGAGGCCUACGGGGCAUUACGAGAGAAAAAGCUCCUAGGCCGUGGGUCAGAGAGCUACAGGUACACCUGGGGCAACAGAGCACUCAGGCGGGGUCGGGGCAAGGGCAGCACGUCACGGAAGUUCUCAGCUUAAUCUUACCAGCGCUAUAUCUUGGGUGCGCGAUAUGGUGGGACUGUGACGCACAGACACCCCCAAGCAUCCCUGAGUUACAGCUGCAAUUUUGGCGGAGGCAACGCAAAUCGGGGAACCGGCAAGUUCUUCCGCAGAAGUCAGGCAGCUAGUAGACCACCUCAGUGAGCAAGCCAGGG